RNAcentral lists this ribosomal RNA (537 nucleotides) under uncultured bacterium. RNAcentral's name for it is "bacterial SSU rRNA". It matches the Rfam family "Bacterial small subunit ribosomal RNA", at positions 8 to 526 of the family's 1533-position model. The record is from RNAcentral.
AGAGUUUGAUCCUGGCUCAGAACGAACGUUAGCGGCGCGCCUAAUACACGCAAGUCGCGCGAGAAAGGGCUUCGGCCCCAGUAAAGCGGCGCACGGGUGAGUAACACGUAGGUGAUCUCCCCUCGAGUAGUGGAUAACCCUCCGAAAGGAGAGCUAAUACAGCAUAAGACCACGACCUCGCUGAGGUUGCGGUCAAAGCGGACCUCUUCAUGAAAGUUCGCGCUUGAGGAUGAGCCUGCGGCCCAUCAGGUAGUUGGUAGGGUAAUGGCCUACCAAGCCUAAGACGGGUAGCUGGUCUGAGAGGAUGAACAGCCACACUGGAACUGAGACACGGUCCAGACUCCUACGGGAGGCAGCAGUAGGGAAUCUUGCGCAAUGGGCGAAAGCCUGACGCAGCGACGCCGCGUGAGCGAUGAAGGCCUUCGGGUUGUAAAGCUCUGUGGGGAGGGAAGAAUAAGGUUUGGCUAAUAUCCAAAUCGAUGACGGUACCUCCUUAGCAAGCACCGGCUAACUCUGUGCCAGCAGCCGCGGUAAUAC